RNAcentral lists this small RNA (87 nucleotides) under Epilithonimonas hungarica. RNAcentral's name for it is "Chryseobacterium hungaricum Flavo-1 RNA". It matches the Rfam family "Flavo-1 RNA". The record is from RNAcentral. Lineage: Bacteria; Pseudomonadati; Bacteroidota; Flavobacteriia; Flavobacteriales; Weeksellaceae.
AACUAGCCCCGAUUGUAGCGGUUACCCCGCAACUAGCUUUGGGAAAAGCAUUGGCGUGAGGAGUAUGAGCGGAAAGCGGGAAAUAGC